This is a non-coding RNA of Caenorhabditis elegans, 143 nucleotides long. The record is from Ensembl. Lineage: Eukaryota; Metazoa; Nematoda; Chromadorea; Rhabditida; Rhabditidae.
GCGGGUACUGUCUCUCUCUCUUUUUCUCUGCUAACCGAGUGGUUCUGCCGCAACGGAGCCGGUCAGUUUGUUCUCCCAUGUGCAUACAAAUGCUCUUUCUCUCGUUCAUACUCUCCUGCGACGUCCAGAUUAUCUUUUUGUGU